This is a long non-coding RNA of Hypanus sabinus (Atlantic stingray), 298 nucleotides long. RefSeq lists it as uncharacterized. The transcript is spliced from 3 exons. The record is from RefSeq and is a predicted model, not a curated record. NCBI's taxonomy places the organism in Eukaryota, Metazoa, Chordata, Chondrichthyes, Myliobatiformes, Dasyatidae.
AUCAUGGCUUAACAUCAUCACGUAAAGUUAAAAUGCUGACAGAACAAGGGGUUGCGCAUUAGUGCACGAACAUCAUUCUGGAUUACGUACCGCAGGAAGACGAGCUCAUUAACAAAUGACCCAAUCCUCAAGUAACAUGGAAGAGAAAUAUGCCGAUAUCCCAAAUUUAAAAGUUACUGAAGUCAGAGGUGGCAUUGGACACAUAUGGAAACAAAGCUUAAAAAAUGAAAGUUUUGCAGUUCUGAAUUAUAUACGUUUUGGGAACCCUGACCUGGAUAAGAGAGAAAAAUCAAUGGAC